Molecule: ribosomal RNA, 494 nt
Filed under: uncultured bacterium
Lineage: Bacteria
Description: partial 16S ribosomal RNA
Rfam family: Bacterial small subunit ribosomal RNA
Source: RNAcentral
GACGAACGCUGGCGGCGUGCUUAACACAUGCAAGUCGAACGGUGAAGCGCCUUCCUUUUUGGUGGGUGUGGAUGAGUGGCGAACGGGUGAGUAACACGUGAGUAACCUGCCCCCUUCUUCUGGAUAACCGCAUGAAAGUGUGGCUAAUACGGGAUAUUCUGGGUCUGUCGCAUGAUGGGUCUGGGAAAGAUAUUGUUUCGGUGGGGGAUGGGCUCGCGGCCUAUCAGCUUGUUGGUGGGGUGAUGGCCUACCAAGGCGGUGACGGGUAGCCGGCCUGAGAGGGUGGACGGUCACAAUGGGACUGAGACACGGCCAAGACUCCUACGGGAGGCAGCAGUGGGGAAUAUUGCACAAUGGGCGCAAGCCUGAUGCAGCGACGCCGCGUGAGGGAUGGAGGCCUUCGGGUUGUGAACCUCUUUCGCCAGUGAAGCAGGCCUGCCUCGUUUGUGGGUGGGUUGACGGUAGCUGGAUAAGAAGCGCCGGCUAACUACGUG